Molecule: ribosomal RNA, 229 nt
Filed under: uncultured bacterium
Lineage: Bacteria
Description: partial 16S ribosomal RNA
Rfam family: Bacterial small subunit ribosomal RNA
Source: RNAcentral
UGCGCAGGCGGGCUUGUAAGUCAGUGGUGAAAUACUGUCGCUUAACGGUAGAACUGCCAUUGAUACUGCGAGUCUUGAAUAUGGUUGAGGUAGGCGGAAUGUGUUGUGUAGCGGUGAAAUGCAUAGAUAUGACACAGAACGCCGAUUGCGAAGGCAGCUUACUAAGCCAUUAUUGACGCUGAGGCACGAAAGCGUGGGGAGCGAACAGGAUUAGAUACCCUGGUAGUCC